Molecule: unclassified non-coding RNA, 621 nt
Filed under: Hevea brasiliensis (rubber tree)
Lineage: Eukaryota; Viridiplantae; Streptophyta; Magnoliopsida; Malpighiales; Euphorbiaceae
Source: RNAcentral
UUACUUGGGGUGCUGUAUUGUGGGGAAAUGGUUAAUUAUAAGUUCAGUUUUCGCAUUGUUGAUUGUCUCGCUUAAUAUUUUUAAUUUGUUGUUAAAAGUUUCUGGUAUCUAAUAUGGAAUAGAAGUUAAUGGGAAACAUCCUAUAUCCUUAUAAUUUUGCUAGUGUAGUUGAACUAUAUUUUGCCGGAUUAAUGCAUAAUUUGGAUACUGAACAUACCUAUUAGGCCAUUCUGCUUUUAUUUGGACUUAUUAAAGACAGGUACUUUUGUUUGUAUAAAAAUUUCACCAUUCCCAAAACAUGAAAAAUAAAAAAUAAUGAAAAAUCUAAUUAAAAAUAAAUAUGCAAUACAUUUCAGAAAACCUAAUCACUGUCGCCCAUAGUUCAAUAUCCAAAAAAAUCUUAUCAUUUCGUUUCCAUAUGUCUUGGAAGGCUUUGUAUUUGUUAUUUGACUACAAUAUUAAACAAAAAUAGUCUCCACUUAUUACAUUUGGGGCUGGACGCCUUUGCUUAUAGAAAUAAUUUGAUUUACAAAAUAUUUUAAAGACCUUAGGGAAACAUAUUCAGUAGCUUUAGUAAGUUAGGAGAAUAAAGCCUGAACAACUAUAUUUUCUGCUUUGACG